GAUGAACGCUGGCGGCGUGCCUAAUACAUGCAAGUCGAGCGAACGGACGAGAAGCUUGCUUCUCUGAUGUUAGCGGCGGACGGGUGAGUAACACGUGGAUAACCUACCUAUAAGACUGGGAUAACUUCGGGAAACCGGAGCUAAUACCGGAUGAUAUUUUGAACCGCAUGGUUCAAAAGUGAAAGACGGUCUUGCUGUCACUUAUAGAUGGAUCCGCGCUGCAUUAGCUAGUUGGUAAGGUAACGGCUUACCAAGGCAACGAUGCAUAGCCGACCUGAGAGGGUGAUCGGCCACACUGGAACUGAGACACGGUACAGACUCCUACGGGAGGCAGCAGUAGGGAAUCUUCCGCAAUGGGCGAAAGCCUGACGGAGCAAAGCCGCGUGAGUGAUGAAGGUCUUCGGAUCGUAAAAAUCUGUUAUUAGGGAAGAACAUAUGUGUAAGUAACUGUGCACAUCUUGACGGUACCUAAUCAGAAAGCCACGGCUAACUACGUG
This 497-nucleotide ribosomal RNA is filed under the name uncultured bacterium. RNAcentral describes it as "partial 16S ribosomal RNA". It matches the Rfam family "Bacterial small subunit ribosomal RNA", at positions 28 to 507 of the family's 1533-position model. The record is from RNAcentral.